This 254-nucleotide ribosomal RNA is filed under the name uncultured bacterium. Its description in RNAcentral is "partial 16S ribosomal RNA". It matches the Rfam family "Bacterial small subunit ribosomal RNA", at positions 524 to 776 of the family's 1533-position model. The record is from RNAcentral.
CACGUAGGCACCAAGCGUUGUCCGGAUUUAUUGGGCGUAAAGAGCUCGUAGGCGGUUCGGUAAGUCGGGUGUGAAAACUCUGGGCUCAACCCAGAGCCGCCACCCGAUACUGCUGUGACUCGAGUGCGGUAGGGGAGCGGGGAAUUCCUGGUGUAGCGGUGAAAUGCGCAGAUAUCAGGAGGAACACCAGUGGCGAAGGCGCCGCUCUGGGCCGUGACUGACGCUGAGGUGCGAAAGCGUGGGGAGCAAACAGG